GCGUCUGUAGUGUAACGGUUAUCAUCAUUGCCUGUAAGUUGCAAAACUACAAUAAAUACACCACAGCAGACCUCAGUUCUAACUCGAAUCCUCUAGUCCAAGCAAUAGACCCGGGUUCGACUCCCGGCGGACGCA
This 135-nucleotide transfer RNA is filed under the name Dactylellina haptotyla CBS 200.50. It matches the Rfam family "tRNA". From Rfam's summary of the family: Transfer RNA (tRNA) molecules are approximately 80 nucleotides in length. Their secondary structure includes four short double-helical elements and three loops (D, anti-codon, and T loops). The record is from Rfam by way of RNAcentral. Lineage: Eukaryota; Fungi; Ascomycota; Orbiliomycetes; Orbiliales; Orbiliaceae.